GACGAACGCUGGCGGCGUGCUUAACACAUGCAAGUCGAACGGAAAGGCCCUGCUUUUGUGGGGUGCUCGAGUGGCGAACGGGUGAGUAACACGUGAGUAACCUGCCCUUGACUUUGGGAUAACUUCAGGAAACUGGGGCUAAUACCGGAUAGGAGCUCCUGCUGCAUGGUGGGGGUUGGAAAGUUUCGGCGGUUGGGGCUGGACUCGCGGCUUAUCAGCUUGUUGGUGGGGUAGUGGCUUACCAAGGCUUUGACGGGUAGCCGGCCUGAGAGGGGGACCGGCCACAAGGGUACUGCGAGACGGAGCAGACUCCUACGGUAGGCAGCAGUGGAGAAUAUGGCACAGUGAGCGGAAGCCUAAUGCAGAGACGUCGGGGGCGGGAUGACGGCCUGUGGGGUGUAAACCGCUUUCGCCUGUGACGAAGCGUGAGUGACGGUAAUGUGUAAAGAAGCACCGGCUAACUACGUG
This 468-nucleotide ribosomal RNA is filed under the name uncultured bacterium. RNAcentral's name for it is "partial 16S ribosomal RNA". It matches the Rfam family "Bacterial small subunit ribosomal RNA", at positions 28 to 507 of the family's 1533-position model. The record is from RNAcentral.